This 468-nucleotide ribosomal RNA is filed under the name uncultured bacterium. RNAcentral's name for it is "partial 16S ribosomal RNA". It matches the Rfam family "Bacterial small subunit ribosomal RNA", at positions 28 to 507 of the family's 1533-position model. The record is from RNAcentral.
GACGAACGCUGGCGGCGUGCUUAACACAUGCAAGUCGAACGGAAAGGCCCUGCUUUUGUGGGGUGCUCGAGUGGCGAACGGGUGAGUAACACGUGAGUAACCUGCCCUUGACUUUGGGAUAACUUCAGGAAACUGGGGCUAAUACCGGAUAGGAGCUCCUGCUGCAUGGUGGGGGUUGGAAAGUUUCGGCGGUUGGGGAUGGACUCGCGGCUUAUCAGCUUGUUGGUGGGGUAGUGGCUUACCAAGGCUUUGACGGGUAGCCGGCCUGAGAGGGUGACCGGCCACAUUGGGACUGAGAUACGGCCCAGACUCCUACGGGAGGCAGAAGUGGGGAAUAUUGCACAAUGGGCGGAAGCCUGAUGCAGCAACGCCGCGUGCGGGAUGACGGCCUUCGGGUUGGAAACCGCUUUCGCCUGUGACGAAGCGUGAGUGACGGUAAUGGGUAAAGAAGCACCGGCUAACUACGUG